AGGAUAAACGCUGGCGGCGUGCAUGAGACAUGCAAGUCGAACGGACGAUCAGGGCUUGCUCUGAUCGUUAGUGGCGGACGGCUGAGUAACGCGUAGGUGACCUGCCCCGAAGUGGGGAAUAACUGCCCGAAAGGGUGGCUAAUACCGCAUGUGGUGGUGUGUUCAUUCACACCAGUAAAGCCGCAAGGCGCUUCGGGAGGGGCCUGCGUCCGAUUAGCUCGUUGGUGGGGUAACGGCUCACCAAGGCGACGAUCGGUAGGUGGUCUGAGAGGACGAUCACCCAGACUGGGACUGAGACACGGCCCAGACUCCUACGGGAGGCAGCAGUCGGGAAUUUUGCCCAAUGGACGAAAGUCUGAGGCAGCAACUCCGCGUGAGGGACGAAGGCCUUCGGGUCGUAAACCUCUUUUCUCAGGGAAGAUACAAGACGGUACCUGAGGAAUAAGCCACGGCUAACUACGUGCCAGCAGCCGC
RNAcentral lists this ribosomal RNA (474 nucleotides) under uncultured bacterium. RNAcentral's name for it is "SSU rRNA". It matches the Rfam family "Bacterial small subunit ribosomal RNA", at positions 26 to 518 of the family's 1533-position model. The record is from RNAcentral.